CGCCUUUUAAUUGUUAAUUGCAUGCUAUAUGAUGUUGCUCAAAUGAACAUGUUUUUCAAAAUAAAUCCUUCACUCAACACUCUUACUCUCAGAGCUCUCUCUCCCUCACUUCCAGAGAAAUAUAAUACAAUCAGUGUGGACGUAGCCCAAACCUUGGGGUGAACCACGAUACUUCUCGUGUUAUUUAUGUUGGAAAUGUGCCCUAAAACCAAUCAUAUGAUGAUACUUUACGGACAUUUAACAUGUUAAACUAAUCUAGUUUAAUAUCAAGGGCAAAGAUUAUUGUUUUAAGCCGUCUCAUAUAAAUGUU
Molecule: long non-coding RNA, 310 nt
Filed under: Malus domestica (apple)
Lineage: Eukaryota; Viridiplantae; Streptophyta; Magnoliopsida; Rosales; Rosaceae
Description: long non-coding RNA (MDOM_LNC020701)
Source: RNAcentral